UACGGAAGGCAGCGGUGGGGAAUAUUGCACAAUGGGCGCAAGCCUGAUGCAGCCAUGCCGCGUGUAUGAAAAAGGCCUUCGGGUUGUAAAGUACUUUCAGUCGUGAGGAAGGUGUUAAGGUUAAUAACCUUAGCAAUUGACGUUAGCGACAGAAGAAGCACCGGCUAACUCCGUGCCAGCAGCCGCGGUAAUACGGAGGGUGCGAGCGUUAAUCGGAAUUACUGGGCGUAAAGGGCACGCAGGCGGUUAAUUAAGUUGGAUGUGAAAUCCCCGGGCUUAACCUGGGAAUGGCAUUCAAGACUGGUUAGCUAGAGUCUUGUAGAGGGGGUAGAAUUCCAUGUGUAGCGGUGAAAUGCGUAGAGAUGUGGAGGAAUACCGGUGGCGAAGGCGGCCCCUGGACAAAGACUGACGCUCAUGUGCGAAAGCGUGGGGAGCAAACAGGGAUUAAUACC
This 452-nucleotide ribosomal RNA is filed under the name uncultured bacterium. Its description in RNAcentral is "bacterial SSU rRNA". It matches the Rfam family "Bacterial small subunit ribosomal RNA", at positions 340 to 786 of the family's 1533-position model. The record is from RNAcentral.